Molecule: ribosomal RNA, 440 nt
Filed under: uncultured bacterium
Lineage: Bacteria
Description: partial 16S ribosomal RNA
Rfam family: Bacterial small subunit ribosomal RNA
Source: RNAcentral
CCUACGGGUGGCAGCAGUGGGGAAUAUUGGACAAUGGGGGGAACCCUGAUCCAGCGACGCCGCGUGAGUGAAGAAGUAUUUCGGUAUGUAAAGCUCUAUCAGCAGGGAAGAAAAUGACGGUACCUGACUAAGAAGCCCCGGCUAACUACGUGCCAGCAGCCGCGGUAAUACGUAGGGGGCAAGCGUUAUCCGGAUUUACUGGGUGUAAGGGGAGCGUAGACGGUGCAGCAAGUCUGAUGUGAAAGGUCGGGGCCCAACCCCGGGACUGCAUUGGAAACGGGUGAACUGGAGUGCAGGAAAGGUAAGCGAAAUUCCGAGUGUAGCGGUGAAAUGCGUAGAUAUUAGGAGGAACACCAGGGGCGAAGGCAGCUUACCAAGCUACUUCUGACGUUGAGGCACGAAAGCGUGGGGAGCAAACAGGAUUAGAUACCCGGGUAGUC